ACUUUUUGCGCGCCACUUUUUGCUGCACUGCCGAGUCCAUCUUGUUACCAUCUGUUGCCACAGCAACCGCAGAGUGUGGCUCACACUCUAGUAAGAGGAACGAUGAUUGGAGGAGGCGGGCGUCCCUAGCAACCGCCAGACCUUCGUUAGCUUCUUUUCGCCCUGUGGGCUCCAUCAACACAGACUGCAUUAUUUCCAUCCCUGCACUUAAAAUAGUAACCGGUCUGAGACGAACACCGCAUAAAUACUUGUUGGCUGCAUGAAGUGGCACACCGCAAUACCAGGAACCAGGGAUCUGUUCUCCCCAGUUGCACUCCUCCACCCCUGAGGUCAUUCCUUCACUGUCAUUGGAGACUACUUCUUCAGGAUUCCAGCUCAUCCUGACGACCAGCCGGGAUAUCCAACCUUGUGGACUGAACAACUACUGGAUUCUUAGACUUCCAAUCAGUAGAAAGCCAUUACCAGACUAGCUGGACCAUAGUCUGUAAAGAGUACAGUGGGAAGGAUACAGUUUUAUCCUUAAGCAGACUCCUACUAAAAGAACAGCAUACUUGGAUUGGACACAGCACAGGAGACAGCACUUUAUUAUUUCUAAGGUGUUAAUAUAUAAAUGAGCCAGUGCACAGUGAAGUCUACAGACUGCGCCAUCUUCAGACUAGAAAGUGUUAAGCAAGCCAGAGGGGCCUCCAUCCCACAAAGCCUACUAAAGCAGAAGAGGGAUCCGUAGAGAACUUUGGAGAUCCAGUGAGUGGCAGACCCCGUGUCAAGAAGAUAAAGUGGAGAGGAAUUGAACAUGUUGCUGCGUAGAAGACCAGAGGAGGAUGUCUGGUGAUGUGGGAAGAGGUGUAUUAUUAUAUAUGCAGGUAGGUGUGUACAAGUGUGUGUAUUCAGGUAGGUAUGUGCUAGUGUGUAUGCAGGUAGGUGGGAACUAGUGUGUGUGCAGGUAGGUGCAUAUAA
This is a long non-coding RNA of Mus musculus (house mouse), 957 nucleotides long. RefSeq annotates it as predicted gene, 26832. The transcript is spliced from 5 exons. Lineage: Eukaryota; Metazoa; Chordata; Mammalia; Rodentia; Muridae. The record is from RefSeq and is a predicted model, not a curated record.